Molecule: unclassified non-coding RNA, 879 nt
Filed under: Melitaea cinxia (Glanville fritillary)
Lineage: Eukaryota; Metazoa; Arthropoda; Insecta; Lepidoptera; Nymphalidae
Description: misc RNA ENSMCXG00005015738.1
Source: RNAcentral
AAAUGUGAGUUCUCUGAAUGGUUACUCCCAUACGAAUUGUAGUAAACAUCGACACUUGUUUUAGAGUCCAGAAUUUUGAGAAUAAGUUUUAUGUUGUGCAUCACAUUGCAACACGUAAUAUCUGAUAUUGGACCAAUAAAAAAAAAUUAGUUGAGCGAUACUGCUGGACAAUAUAAAACAGUGCUACAUACUAUUACCACCGACAUGAGAUGUGGUUUGGAGCUUAGCCUAAACAUGACUACGCACGAUUAGAUGUUUGUUGCCUAUUUUUAAAUGUUACAGCUGUGACCACUAGCGACCAACUUCACGUGUAACAUAGCGUGGCCAGAGGUGCGAAGACUGUGUGCUGGCUGCCUGAGCUACGUUGAGUACUGCUGCGCGUGACAUACUCAGCUGAGCGUCGCAUCGUACAGCCCGCUGAUGAGCGGUGAAUUGCUUGGCCUGUGCUGCAGUGCUGGGCAGAGAAGAAUGACGGUAAUUUGACUCGGGUAAAAGUAAGAUCAAGCCCGAGGAACUCCUGAUGAAGAGGAGCAGAGCCAAGCCGAGGGGAACCAAGCUGACGAGGACGUUCAGCUGUCAGGAGAGGCCGUGUUAGAAACUUUCCCACGACCCGGCUCCUCUACUCAGUGACGUCGUGCAACGGAGCGCGGAGGGCGGGACAAUAACGCCGCGUGCGCCACGUCACAUCAUGCGGUGGCAUCGCUCUUUUUGCUUCGAGCUCGCGGCAGCGACGGACGUACUCUCUAGUGCUAAUAAGACGCGUACUUGUACUUGUGUUGUUAAAAAUUUAGUUGAUGUAAAUGAAUAAAUCUUGUAAGGUUACUCCGUGUCUUAUUCGUUUUUUUUAAAAUAAAAUUCUCUUUCACUUCUGAUUUCUAA